Long non-coding RNA from Harmonia axyridis, 3039 nucleotides. RefSeq lists it as uncharacterized. The record is from RefSeq and is a predicted model, not a curated record. NCBI's taxonomy places the organism in Eukaryota, Metazoa, Arthropoda, Insecta, Coleoptera, Coccinellidae. The transcript is spliced from 4 exons.
UAAGGAAAUGCAUAUAUUCCUUAAAACCCCGUGGGUUCGAUCAUGUACAAUUUAUUUGUGAAAUUAUUACAACUUUAUCACUUAAGUUGAAUGUGAUUAAUGCAGUAUAUUCUAUUACGCAUUAGCGAAAUACGAUAGAAGAAAUAUUCAACCAAAUCAGAAAUUCCUGUCAUAAACAAUGAGGAAUAUGGCUCAUUGUCAAUUCGGUUCAAUGAAUAAACACACAAUUUUCAUGGAAGUCUGGCAACGUUGGGUGACGAGUUCACUCCCGCGAUCUGAAACCCUGACACCACAUUGGGCAUUCGUGAACUGGUAAAUCGAUAGGACAGUGGGAGAGCAUGAAACCGGAUAAAAUGAGAUAUCCGCUGUUGCCGCACCGUUCAACCUAAACACCGAGUUAAUAUGGAUUGAAAGAAAUUCUUACGUAAAGUUUCAUCGUAGUAAACAAAUAUAAAAUGAAUUCGGUUGGUAUGGUUAUCUAUCAAUAUGGAAACGGUAAACUCUUCAUCUUCGAAAAAUAUCUGAAUAAUCAGAUGGGAAAGAAAACUUCACAACUGGAAAGAAUGUUGAGGUGAUACCGAACGAGAAAUACGAGUAACAUGCUUUCCAAAUUUCAUUUAAUUAUGACAAUCUGAUGGCACGCUUGCUAUUAAUUUUUCACUCUGUUGCCAAGUUAAGUGAUUGCAACGCAACGUCACCCGUCACCGACAACAAAACAAGUGAAUUUUCUUUCAAAAUGAAAAAUUAUAUUAGAAAAUUGUCAGAACAGAGCGGAAUUUCAUAUCACAAGAUCAUCUAGUGCAUAUCUACAGUAAAAUAUAGAUUUCCAAUUAAUAAAUAGGAAGCACUACUAUAGAUACGAGUUUUACAGUAUAUUAUUUCCAAUAAUUGCAACUUCUAAGGUAUAUAAUGAAAUGCUGAAGUGAUUUGUAGAAAAUCAACUAGUUACGUUUAAGAAUAGAAAGUAAACUCACCUCAAAAAAGCCAUUAAAAUUGCAAAAUUUUAUUCCAGUGACACAAGUGUUCUUCUCUUCUUCUAAGAAAACAAAAUAAUCACAAUAUAUUUCAAACUUCACAUAAUCUUUUUUUGAGAAAAAAUUGUGACGCAUUCUGUAAGAACUUCCCACAACGAUGACCGAUUUAAUACUGGCUUUGCUUUGCAUUUGCUUACUUGGGAUAGUGGUGGUGGAAAGACGUGCGCACUGAAAUCUCACAGAGCUCGUUUGGGCGAAUCCAUUUACAUGAUUCAAAUGUUACAUGCUUGCCAAUUUUGAUGUGUAAUAUUUCUAUGUUUGAAGUUUUAUUCUUCAUCACUGGAUGAUUCGUAUUAUUCAUCAAAAAAAUAUUUUCAGGGAAUUUUUUACCUCUUUAGUCCGAGACUUCUAGAGCUUUUGUCAUUCUUCGCAUUGUUUAUGUUGUUACCCAGGCGGACUCCCCUAGUAAUAAAUAGGAUGAUUCCACCAAGUUCUACUUUCAAGGGCAACGUUCGUCGUUCUGACAUAUGUACGAGUACGAACUACGUUAGUACAAUGUUGCCGCCUGUUUGGUGUAAACGAGAAAUGGAUUGAAUCUCUGAAAGCAAAUAUUUUUUGAUGUCACAUGUUAACAGAGACCGAGUCACCAGUGGCGGAUCAUGCUUCAAACUAAGAGGAACAUUUAAAGAAUUUCCACCUUGAAGUUGUGCCUUGAAGAUUCACUGAAAUAUUAAUGCUGUGGGUUCGACCAUGAACGAAAUGGAUUAAUACUCCAAAAAAAUAAAUGAGAAACUUGUGGUGUUUUUCUGCUACAGAGAAGAAAUUUGGGCCAUAGAUCAAUUGCAGAUGACUCAGAUUGAGGUGGAUGUCGAAAUCUCAGUUCGAUCUAGGUACCCCUAUAAUGAACAUCUCAACGGAAAUCAAAUCAAGAUUACACCAGACUUUUUCAGAGAGCCCAUUUGAAUGUAGAAUGGUCAUCGUAAUCGCCUAAAACCUUAAUAUCAUAGUACGAAAUAUUAAACACAAAGUUUUAUUCAACAAAUAAGGAAAUAUUUUUCAAACAGCACAAUUUUGAGAAUAUUAGUUAAGCUGCGUUAAGUCAACUGUAGGUAGCGCUACCAACAAAUUAAGAUUCUUGUUAUUUAUUAUUUAUGAGUUUUGUGCCAUUUUGUACCUACAUAUCUUUCAUUAUAGUUAUGACCUGUGUAAGCAAUUCUCGAAAUUGAAACUAAUAAAGACCAAUAAACUCUUUCUCUAUUUCAAAUAUUUCAAUUCAUUCUUAUAGACGUUUUGUAUUUUGUUUCACGACUCUGCACGAUCAUACUCGGUUACACAUCGCUUUUAAUUGGCCAGGAUUGGGUGUUAAUUGAUGUAUCCUAUCAAAAUCGAAGGAAAAAGGUCGAAAUGACAAUUAUGACAUUGCGGCGCCUCCACGAAAUAAAACUAAUAUUCUCAAUUUGGUCGAAUGUCAUUGCAUUCAAAAAUUGAGUGCAUACACCAUGUUUUUAGACAUCUUACAUAUUGAGUAACUGACAUUAGUGACAGUGAUUUUGGGACGAAAUUUAAAUUUCAAAUAUAACAAUAAUGGAAACUGAAACAGAUACGUUUAUUAACAUUCUGAAUGUUACCUAAUACCAUAAGCAAACAUGGAAAUAAAAAUCGAUAUUUUCACAGAAUAUUGUCUCUCGUCAUAACGUAACCUUCAAGAAGGACCCACAUAAUCUAUUGCUGUCAAGAACUGGAGCAACCUGUCCAGCAGAAAAUACUAACGUUACCAAAUUGAUACCUAUCAGUAGCGGAGCUACUUUCGUUAGCGAUCUUUCUGCUGAACGCGCCCAUUCUUUCUUCAAAUGUAAAUUUUCGUCCCAAUCGAAAUUGCAGUUUCGAAAUUGAUGAUAAUGCAGGAUUUUGAAUGGCCUUAUUUACCAACCCCUGUUCGAAUCGGCUGGCCAGAAUCUAAUUCGAAGACGGAUUCGUCAUCAAUAAAUCGAUAGAGAAAUCUGUUUAAUGAACGAGAACUUAUCAGAAGAAUACAUUCAUUUAAAAUACAUAAUCUCAAAAUGAU